This 440-nucleotide ribosomal RNA is filed under the name uncultured bacterium. RNAcentral describes it as "partial 16S ribosomal RNA". It matches the Rfam family "Bacterial small subunit ribosomal RNA", at positions 338 to 795 of the family's 1533-position model. The record is from RNAcentral.
UCUACGGGUGGCAGCAGUGGGGGAUCUUGCACAAUGGGGGAAACCCUGAUGCAGCGACGCCGCGUGGGUGAAGAAGCGCCUCGGCGCGUAAAGCCCUGUCAGCAGGGAAGAAAAUGACGGUACCUGAAUAAGCAUCCCCGGCUAACUACGUGCCAGCAGCCGCCGUCAUACGUAGGGGGCAAGCGUUAUCCGGAUUGACUGGGUGUAAAGGGGGCGCAGGCGGCGAAGCAAGCCAGGAGUGAAAGCCCGGGGCGCAACCCGGGGACUGCAUCUGGAACUGGGUGGCUUGAGUGCAGGAGGGGCAGGCGGAACUCCUGGUGUAGUGGUGGAAUGCGUAGAUAUCAGGAGGAACACCAGUGGCGAAGGCGGCCUGCUGGACUGCAACUGACGUUGAGGCCCGAAAGCGUGGGGAGCAAACAGGAUUAGAUACCCGGGUAGUC